This 6285-nucleotide unclassified non-coding RNA is filed under the name Neodiprion lecontei (redheaded pine sawfly). RNAcentral describes it as "glucose dehydrogenase [FAD, quinone], transcript variant X3". The record is from RNAcentral. Lineage: Eukaryota; Metazoa; Arthropoda; Insecta; Hymenoptera; Diprionidae.
CAAUAAAGGAGAAAACUUGCUUCCAACUUCGAUUCACUGUCGAUUUUGCAACAAUAAAUAAAAACGAAAGGCAUGACACAAUAUAUGCAUAAUUUGCUAAGUUGAUGUUUAAUACAGAAUGUACGGAAAUUCGAAAGUCUUCGUUUGACGAAGUAGCUAAGGCCGGAAAUUGUUUUACAGGUUCAUUAGAUGCCUAGGAACAUGUCAUAAAGUUUUUCAAAAAAAUGAGGUUCGGAUUUUCGCGUCGCAUUUUUUUGAAAAUUGAUAAAGUUGUAAUUUCACGUAUUUUUUUCCGUUGGUCUUAGAAAAAAAAUGGUUCUUGCAAAAGUUGUCCGUGAUGUUGCCCUCUAUAAAAUUAGUCCCGUACAAAAAUCACGUAUCGUUGGUAGUUUACUUGUAAAUUACCUAUAAACACGGACAUCGAUCGUUUUGUUUAUCGCUAUUAAUUCUGUGAAUUUUCAAUGACAUGCCUUGAAACUCGUCCAACGUGUAGAACAAUCAUUUCUCCAAUUUUUUCAACAAGAACAAAAAUUUUGCGCGAAACUCCAGGCCUGAUUUUUUUGACAAACUUCAUGAUAUGUUUCUAGGCCAGCCAAUGAACCAGUAAAAAAAUUUCCAGUCUUAUGUUCUUCAUCGAGCGAAGUCAUGUAAAUUUCGACUGGAUUACAAAGAUUUAUUUUAGAUUUUCAGGCUGGUCAAAACAAUGUUCAAAGUAGAUAAUUUAGAAAAAAUGAAGAAUGAACAAGUGCAGCUGUGGUUAGUCAAAUUGAAUUGGAUCAAAACGAUGUCGUCGCCUCAUUAUCAGAAAAAACCAGCGCAUGCAUACGAAGAGUUAAGUUAUCAACAGUUUUUUAGACAUCGUUAUACUAUUCUGGAAUUUUUGUAACUGAAAGAUGUUUGAUUUUUACGGGGCAGUGCUCAACUAAAAUAUAUGCGAAAAACGAAUUUAUUAUACCUGUUUUCAAAAAUGAUGUUCAAUUCUAGUAGAUUCCUGCUUUUUCUGAAUUAUUUACUGCAUUAAAAGUCCUCUUUUUUGUUGAUUCAAGGAUUUAUCAGGGGUACGUAGUAUAUAGCAAAAACAAUGAGUAAAUGGAAGAAUUAAGAAAUAAAUACUAAAAAAGGGUCAAAACGAUUUCGUCUUAAUAUGGAGGAACGAAAACAAGAAGUAACGGAUUUGCAUUUAAAGAGCAUAUAAUACUAUUCUGAAUUUUUUGUAAAUGAUGAACUUGUACCAUAUACCUAAUUUGAGUAGAUCGUAGCUGACUUUGUUAGGAAUAAAUUAUCCAAAAAUGCCUCGACUUGUUUUGAUAUCCAGCUGUGCAAAUGACCAAAACAUAACUAAUGUAAAAUCAAUUUGGUCGCAUUCAACAAACUAAUGCUUCAAUUCAAAAUGUAUUGACCUCAUAAAAUAUGUGUAACAGGUGAUUUCGCAGAAUUCAUUUGCAACAAAAAUUACCAGUUAUUCGUAGAAAUUGAACAGACUGUAGGUACGCGAACUUGGUACUAUCGAGUAGCCACAUUCUAAUGCAGAAGCAAGUCUUAUCGUGAUUCAUCUGCUACAAGAAUUGAAUGGUAACUUAUCGACAUUAACGAUUGUAUCAUAACAGUACACGAUUUCUGCUGACAGCUGACUGACGUAGCGAUAAAAAUGUUCUAACCGUUUCUAUUUCUUAUGUUAGAUAGUGACAGUCAAUCCAUUAUUAUGAACUGGACACCACAGCAACGUCUUCACUCGUUGUAAGCAAAAAAUACUGUGAAUUAUGUGAAUCACCGAUCAAUACUUUAACCCACUUGGCUCCUUGAAGCUGUAAAAGAUAUUGUUCAGAACUGGUUCUCUUUAAUAGGUACUGUUUACUCUACGUUGGUACUAAGAAAUGACGCUCGAUUAUGUAACCCGUCUCAGAUUAUUUAUUUACUACUCAAUGAACGAUUCCGAACGAAGUUCACGGCUUUUUAUUGUGUUCCGUACCAUGGGAAUAUCUUUGAUGAAAGUAAACUGUCACGGCACGUAAUUUGAGUUGCGUUUCAGUCUACAAUGAUUUACUAGGUAUCACCAUGUGCUCAUCAGUCGCUAACUUUCCCUAGCUAGACCAUUUCCAAUUACAUCUUUCUAGUAAAUGUCCUUCGCACACAAGUGUCAGGCUGCAUUUUUCCCACUGUACUUGGAUUCCACAAACUUACGCUCCUUUUCGCAGUUUUUUCCACUGUACUUGGAUGCCACAAACUUACGUUCCUUUUCUCAGUUUUUUCCACCUCUCCCAGGACAUCACUCUCCCUCAAUUCUCAAUCAGCAAACCAAUUGCUGGUGAUUCCUCGACUCAGAAGAACGUGUGUACCGAAGCUCUUUUGGACAACAAUAUAAAUGCUUUUAACCUAAUUUAUACAUCACCUGGAUCCCCUUAAUUACUGUGCAGUACGUUCAUAUGAGAUUCGGUGUUUGUAUCACCGUAGACGAGGAUUCGCGUGAAGAAAAACAGACUUUGGUCCUUCCUCCGAAGGUCCUUAACCUUUGUUCCUAAAUUUUUCUACCUCGACACGUUUUCGACAGGACUGUACACCUGACACAUCCUUAGAGAGAAGAUCACUCGUGUCGUCAGGCAAGAAGACGAAGCCCGACGGUUAACCUUAGGAGGAAUACGAACGGAAAGAAAAAGAAGUAAGAAUAAGAAGAAGCAUGCCGAAUGAAAAAAAGUAGAGAGAAAAGGAGGUAAAAAUUGAAUACAGCUGCAGCGCCGGCGGUUGGAUGACUUCAUCACUGCUGCACCGAAGGGGGAGUUUCGGAGAAGCCCACGUUCGUCUGACAGACUCUUCUCUUGCCUCGAGUAUUUUCGUACAGAAGGCUUCGACGCCGCCGGAUCUCGGGUACAAGAGUGAAGUUUGACUAUCGCAGUGUGUGAUGAUCACCGCCUCGCGAAUGGCGGGUAUUUGUCAUUAGUGAUUCUCGGUCAAUCGGUAUUACCAUCAUCAUCGAACAUCCGGCAGAUGCAGCGGGGAAUUCAGCUGCAGACGGUACUUAAGUAUCAGCAAUGAAGAUAAUGUUGUGAAGGGUCACUUCAUUCAUCCGUCGAUCGCUGCGGUGGGGUGAAAUCAUCGAUGUGAUUAAGUGCAUGUAUAGUGUCUGACCGCAUGUGUGAGUCAUAUUUUACACGUUUUCGUGGUAUUUCAACUGCGUCUAAGCGUAAUUGCAAGACAUGGAGGAAGUGGCUUGAUGGGCUUCGAAGACUUCAAAAGCGGACUAAGCUUGGUGCCACAGUCUGUUUAAUUCUAGAGGUGACACCGCGACUUUUCUAGGACGUAAGAAUAUGGAGCUAAAAGUCUUCCUCGUCCAUUUUCUGCAAUGGAUUAUCAUCGGCUUUGGAUUCGCUACGGCCAUUAGAUACGAACCGACGGCGAUGCCGAGAGGAGCCGGGACAUUAGCGAAUCCGAGUGACAAUCCUUCCAGCGGAUGUUGCCAGUGCAAAUUCGAUGACACCGCCUACCUCAACUCAGCUUGCGGGAGUAUGGCGUCUUUCAUGAUACUUGUUCAGAGCUUGAUGAUGUCCAGAUGCGACAUAGCCGACCCUUGUCGACGGGCCGGAAGGUCGGAUCUACCGGAUGGUCAAUGGUACGAUUUUAUCAUCGUCGGCGCCGGAGUUGCCGGACCGAUCUUAGCCAGACGAUUGAGCGACUAUCCGUGGUGGAAGGUGCUUCUCAUCGAAGCGGGACCUGAGGAACCGACGAUGACGGCUUUCCCGGGGCUUGCCUUCAACGCGAUCAACUCGUCAUUGGACUGGAAGUUCUUGACGGAACCAACGCAGCCACACCCGACAGCUUGCUUGGAAAGAGGCGGAAUCUGUGCUUGGCCACGAGGCAAAAUGGUGUCGGGCACCGGGGGUCUCUAUGGCAUGAUGUACGUUCGGGGUCACCCCGAAAUCUACAACAAAUGGGCGCGGGAGGGGAACGUCGGUUGGUCGUACAGUGAGAUCGAGCACUACUUCGAGCGGGCGGAGGCGCCGGCAAAUCCGAAUAUGGUGCGGACCGAGCCGUUCGCGCGAACGCGGAGCGGCGGCCCGUUGCAGAUCAACUAUUUUCCGCACAAGCCGGACUUCUCCGAGGACCUGCUCAACUCGGCAAAGGAGCUGAGGUACCGGAUCGGCUCGCUCCGUGGCUUUAACCAGACGGGUUUCAUGGUAGCCCCGAUGAUGACGAGCGCCGGCCUUCGUGGAACUACUUCGCGGUACUAUUUGCGGCCCGUCUCGCAGCGGCCCAAUUUGGACGUGUUGAUAAACGCUCACGUGACACGAAUCCUCGUGGAGAAGUGGUCCGCGAGGGCGUACGGGGUCGAGUACAUCGACAAGAAUGGGGUACGGCGAGUCAUGAAGACUAACAAAGAGGUGAUUCUAACCGCCGGGGCUAUCGGGUCACCGCAGAUUCUGAUGACGUCAGGAAUCGGACCCAAGGAGCACCUCACUAAGCUCGGAAUAAAGCCUGUAAAGGAUCUGCCGGUAGGAGAAAACCUCCACAAUCAUGUCUCCAUCGGCAUAAAGAUGAGCAUCAAUGACACUCACUACGAAACGCUUACUCUUAGCGCGAUCAAUGAGUUUCUGGCCACCCGGAGCGGGCCUUUAGCUAGCACUGGUCUGACCCAGGUGACAGCGUUUCUAGAAAGCAGCUAUUCGACGGCUGGAGUUCCCGACCUGCAGAUAUUCUUCGACGGUUUUAGUUCAAAGUGCCCUAGGACCGGCCUUCAAACGGAGUGUCCAGAUGGUAGCAUCAACACGUGUCCGGAGCGUCGAGAGAUAGUCGCCAGACCGACGGUCGUCUGUCCACGAAGCAAAGGUUAUAUGAAGCUGCGCUCGUCCAACCCGCUGGACCCGCCACUCCUGUACCCCAACUACUUCGUGAACGAAGUCGACGCAAAGAUCCUCGUUGAGGGUAUAAAGAAGGUCGUCGAGCUGAGCAAGACCAAAGCAUUGCGGAAGUGGGACCUCCGCUUGGACAACAAACCACAUCCAUGGUGUGCCAGGUACUACUUCGGGUCUGAUGCUUACUGGUCUUGUCUCAUCCGCGUUCAGACUGGCCCGGAAAACCAUCAGGCGGGGUCUUGCAGGAUGGGCCCGGUUGGCGAUGCCCGCGCUGUUGUCGAUCCUGAGUUGAGAGUUCACGGCGUUGAAAACAUCCGCGUUGCUGACGCUUCGAUUUUCCCCAUCGUUCCCAACGCCAACCCCGUCGCCGCCAUCAUCAUGGUCGCCGAAAAAGCCUCCGACCUCAUUCGGGCCGCUUGGAUGGUGAAGUGAGAAAUUCUCGUUCGCCGGUACGAGUUUCUUGUCCCACCGCCAAAAUAUGCCGAUCCUCUCAAGAUCUUCGAAAAUUCGGAAAAGAGAGAGAUCUUCUUCGUCUUCUUCUUUUUCUCCUUUGCUCUUUCAUUGGUUAACGGGUUUCUUCGAGAAAGGAAAAGAAGGAUAAUGUACGAUGUAGUGACGGUGAACUGACAUGAUUGUAACGUGCUUUCUAGAAAUAAUAAGGAUUCAAGUUUUGGUUACAAUAUUGUCUAAAAUAAGGUUCUCAAAUGUUGUGAGCUAAGAAGACGAUAUAAUAAAACAACAACGUUCAUACAUGCAAGUCUGCAUACUUUCAGUCUGCAUAGUCAUUGUGUAUUUUCUGAUGUACCAUCGACUGGUAAUCGAUACAUUGUAAGCAGUAAGUUAGAUAGAUCAGGUUCUCUGGCAGACUCCAACUCGUGUGACCAUCGACAUUAACACUUCACUUCGUGAAAUCGAUACUCUGAUCGAGUGUAAAGAGAGUAAAAAUAAAACCAGUAGCACCGAGCAGCAUUCAAGAAAGAUAAAUAUACGUAAAGAAUUCGAUUCUUUCGUCGGUUCCAAUCGAACGGUUCAAUAAAACUUUGAUAAUACUUCGAUCGAAUGGCACUAUGUUAUAAUUAAUAACGUAGAUCAAUAAUUGUAUAUAUAUAUAUACGCACGCAUCUGUGAUAAUUUCUUCAGGAAACUGAUCGACUCGUAGAACAAACUUCUGACGACGCACUUGUGGUUAAUAUUGAAGCAAAAAAUCUGCGGGUUGUAAUACCAGUUUGCACAGGUUUUACCGAUAAUCGAAGUGGGGUAAUAUUCAGACGCCUGCUUCCUCGGGCAUUCGUUAUAUAAACUCCUUGGCAGUGCGCGGCAGAGCUUAACUACAACUCAGAGUGAACAGUAUAUAGUAGCUUCCGGAAAACGACUGCUUGUACAACGGGGCAAGGUUCAGGUUAAUUUUAUCGCAAACCGUGGAGACAAACGUCCAUUUUCU